This 2435-nucleotide long non-coding RNA is filed under the name Triticum aestivum (bread wheat). RNAcentral's name for it is "long non-coding RNA (TAES_LNC002972)". Lineage: Eukaryota; Viridiplantae; Streptophyta; Magnoliopsida; Poales; Poaceae. The record is from RNAcentral.
AAAUUGUUGCACCGUGUUCUUUUAGAAAAUCCUAAUAGUAGAACUCAGAGAAUGACACGUAUGUCAUCCACCAUUACUUAACAUUUUUUCGGAUUAAAAGUUCAAUAGAGCUCGGAAUGUUAUUUCUAUCAUUAAUUUUCUCAUAUGUGUAGUUCAGAGUUCAGACUUGACUACAAUGGAAUAAUUAAUGUUUCUUUGAUAUUGUGCUUUACACCCCAAAAGGCAGUUCACGAUCAUAGCAUUUUCUCAACUUUCUCGGUGGAUUGCCUUGAGCAUCGAAAGGGGAUUCACAGAUGGUGCAGGUGCAACUCUGACAUAGUCCCAUGUUGAGCCUGCAGAUUUGGCUUUUCAGGAAAUUCGUUCUAAAAAAUACUCAUUCUUUGCAAGCUUUCUACUUUUACCAAGGUAAGAAAUUUGAAUUUAUUUUGUACUGUAAUUUAUGGUCUAAGAUGAAGGUGUAUGUUGUUCUGACCUUCACAUUAUUAUGUUAUAUAUGUUCCAUAGCUCAUGCAUAUGGCUUAUUGAUCAUUAUCUCAUUCCCACAUAUUAGUAUGAUGGAAAUUGAAGCAAUCUUAUUAGUCACUUAUUUGAUUGUUAUUUUCUUAAUUAAUUAUAUUAUCUCUUUGCACAUUAAUAAUUAAUUGUUACGAUAUCUAAAGAAACUAUUUAUUUAGUAUGGUUGUGUAUAACACAUGAUUUAAUUUAGUUUUUUUGUUUGGGAGGUAACACAAGAUUAUCUUGAUUGAAAACAUCUAUUUCUAUUUGGACCAUACUCAUGUAUUCCUAUUGAUAAUCACCCCCCUUAUAUCCACACAAAAUUACUUGCUCACACUUCCGCAGCAACGCGCGGGGGGUCAUCUAGUUGAGUUAAUUUGCUUGCUGAAAUUAGGUUGAUGCCUUGUGUACUGUUUUUCUUGAUAUGUUUGAUGUUCAUCGAUCGUCCAGAUUUACUAGCACACCAAAUAGAAUUUGGGACUGAUGCCAUUCAAUAGAUUUUCUAGACAUUUUAUUGUGUCUCAUGCUGAAAAAGAAAAUGCACAAUGAGCUUGUUUGACUUUUUUGAUGCUUAGAGUAUACUUGAUCAGGGGGCAGUGUUAUUUCCUGUGAUCUUUCAUGUCAUUUGCUAGUGUGAUGCUUCAAGAUGACAAAUUUAAAAACCUAAACUAUUGUAAAUAAGCGUUCUGCAUCUUGAGCAUUUAAAUGUGAGCACUUAACCAUUGUACAACUUUUGCAUAUUUUGUUUUGUAUUUCUUUUAUAAAUGAUGAUAGUCUAUGCAAGAUGUACACAUGUUAAUUUUUGUUGACUUGAAUCUGUUAUGCCCUUGAUUUUUUUACUUAGCUUAACCCAGAACAACAACAUCCUUGAUAUUUACUGAUCCCCACCUCACUCUUUGCACUCGCAGACUUGAAGGCAUCUAUCGUCCCAGCAUUCAGAAUGGAGAAACUAGUGAGUUUCAUAUAUGAUCUGAAUGAAAUGUUUAGGACUUGCGGCAGUGGACUUUGCUACUGGUGCGAUCUAUUUCCUGUUUUUGUCUACUAAUCAUCAGUUACUAGAAUUUACCUUCUGCCUGCUACUUCUUGUUUCUUGACGCCACUAGUUUAUACUGAAAUGUGGAGACUUUACACCUUGCAAGAUCAUUCGGUGGUGGUGACCCAUAUGAUGGCGAUUCGCUCCGGCCAUUCCAGUUUUGGCGGUGGUGGUGUUGCUGCUCCUAUGAUGGUAGACUCGUCUGAUUCCCCUAGUCGCAUCCAUGGUGAUGAAGCUCGGCCUAGGCUAGAACCCCCUCCGGUGAGCUCCUCACGUCCUCUUAUACCCCUUCUACUUGCUUGUUGGUUCUAUGCUCCACCUUUGUGAGGUGUAAUUGUUCAAUUUUGUUCAUAGUCGAGCAUUGGAUGAUAAUGGAAUUGUCAUGAUGUACAUGGUUCAUGAACUAUGCCAACCUGCAGCUUUGUUGUACUAGUAGUUUUCACAAUCCAUGCAUAUUUCCGCAUCAUAAUAAUCUUAUUUUUCUAGUCUUCUUCUUCUAACUUUCUUCUUUCCCAUUUUACAGAUUUGCUUAAGAUUACGGAAGAAUGGGUUGAUGGAGUGCUUGUAUUUAGUUUUUGUUUUGACCUUGUAAAACUUGCUACCUAUGGAUGAAACUGUGUAAUAUUGAUGAAACUAUGUAUAUGUACGGAUGAAACAUGCUACUAUUGGUAACAUGUGUUGGAUAUAUAUGUGUUCAAGACUAAUGGUAAUAUGUGUUGAAUAUGCUAUAUUGGUCAUAUAAAUAUAUUUGUGUUUGAUUUUCUGUGAAAAUGAACUGAUAUAAGAAAAAACAAAAUUAAAUGGGGCAAUAUAAUCACUUUGCCAUCUGCUGGCAGAUGGCAAAGAGCUUUGCCAUUAGCUGGCAGAUGGCAAAGAGGCCACGUGUCAUCUACAUGUAAAAUUUGGG